GUCGCCGCUGCUCCGGGCGGCCGGCGUGCUCGCGUCUUGCGCGGCUUCCGUCUCUGCCGGCCUCGCGAUCGUAUACUCCUGAAGCCUCUCACUCCACACCACCUACAUACAGUAAAACGCCCGUCAGAGAGACCCAGAAACUCUGGGAACUUGAAUUCUGUGGAGUCCAUUUUCUCUAUCAGUUCUGUUUUUAUAAUACGAAGCAUUUUUCAGAAAAAAGACUAGUAGGAUCUGUUACCAGUAAAUGAUACAGAAGCA
Echinops telfairi (small Madagascar hedgehog) is the source of this 258-nucleotide long non-coding RNA. RefSeq lists it as uncharacterized. The record is from RefSeq and is a predicted model, not a curated record. The transcript has 2 exons. NCBI's taxonomy places the organism in Eukaryota, Metazoa, Chordata, Mammalia, Afrosoricida, Tenrecidae.